CCCAUAAAGAUUAUUUUGAUACAAUUACCCUCUGGUGACACCUACUGGUAGGUUUUUGGUUUAACACUUUAAACAAAAAGUUUUUUCAUCCACCAAAUGCCGACUAAUAAAAUUAGCUCACCCCCUUACACCUAUCUUACUACUCCUAGACUGGAACCUAUUAUUGAGCAGCCUUGCCGAAGUCCCAUAUUAGAUACUGUUUGAGUCAAAUAGAUUGUACACUCCUUUCAAUCCUGAAG
Pelobates cultripes (western spadefoot toad) is the source of this 239-nucleotide non-coding RNA. The record is from the annotation of a GenBank genome assembly. Lineage: Eukaryota; Metazoa; Chordata; Amphibia; Anura; Pelobatidae.